UACGUAGGGCGCAAGCGUUGUCCGGAAUUAUUGGGCGUAUAGAGCUCGUAGGCGGUUUGUCGCGUCUGCCGUGAAAGCUCACAGCUUAACUGUGGGUCUGCGGUGGAUACGGGCAGACUAGAGGCAGGUAGGGGAGAACGGAAUUCCCGGUGUGGCGGUGAAAUGCGCAGAUAUCGGGAGGAACACCGGUGGCGAAGGCGGUUCUCUGGGCCUGUACUGACGCUGAGGAGCGAAAGCGUGGGGAGCAAACGGG
This 253-nucleotide ribosomal RNA is filed under the name uncultured bacterium. RNAcentral's name for it is "partial 16S ribosomal RNA". It matches the Rfam family "Bacterial small subunit ribosomal RNA", at positions 524 to 776 of the family's 1533-position model. The record is from RNAcentral.